Molecule: non-coding RNA, 246 nt
Organism: Pelobates cultripes (western spadefoot toad)
Lineage: Eukaryota; Metazoa; Chordata; Amphibia; Anura; Pelobatidae
Source: the annotation of a GenBank genome assembly
CUGUGUUUGUGCUAUUACUAACAGAUUAAUAUUAGCUGCUAGAUAAUAUUUUAUAUUCGGUAGGCUCAUGCCUCCAUUAGAAACGUGGCGAUAUAGGGUAGAUGCAGAGACUCUAGGUCUUUUUUCAGCUCAAAUAAAUUUGUUGAUUAACCUUUGAUAUUCUACAAAAUACUGAGUUGGGAUUUUAAUCGGGAGAGUUCUGAACAGAUAUUGAUAUUUAGGAAUAGCUAUCAUCUUAACAGCGGC